GAGCUGUAAACUUUAAAAUUGGCCAGAACAUAGCUCAUAUUGCGAAAGGAAAUUCAACCCAAAUUUGAAGAGAAACAGCUAGAUAUUUUAAAAGUGAUUCCAGUAUUUGUGUUCUUUAAUAUUUAGUGAGUGCUGGUGAUGUUCGGGCACGUUAAACCAAAAUUCUUGCCCAGACACGUUGCCAUGUUGACUGGGACUGCCGUCAGUGGGACCUGGCUCAGCAGAACGGGGUGCUUUCUUAUCUUUCUUCCCAUCACCAAGCUCCCGUCCGCAGCAGCUCCUCUGCCCACAGACAACCAAAGGAAUGCUUGCUCCACUGUGGGGCUCCCAGGAGAAAAAACACAUCAGUCUAACCACUCCUCCUCCAGCAGCCUCCAAGUGCUCACUGCCUGGCUUAGAAAAGAUGUCUGCUCCUUCCAGCAAUGUGACUUCCUUCAUCUACGAUGCAAAAGUUAUGGUGCUCUGCUAAGCAUGAGAAUGUUAACCAGGCAGAUGCUGGAGUAGCAGAACAGCUCACAAGUCAAGAAAUACACCCUUCAUGAGGUUUACACUGGCAGGUACUCAUUGCUCUUAAAUGCAAAUAGCGAGGAUGUUGAUGAUGGUGACAAAGAUGAUGGUACUUUGCACCAUGUGGCACAUGGUGUGGAUUUGGGAGCUGAUGAUUGACACCACUGGCCAGCAGGCUACAAGCAACUGCAAGGCUUUUGCUGGCCGCUGUCCCCCCACAAUUGUCCCACUUGAUCCAGCUAUGACUUGGUGCCAGAAGAGGGCUGCUAGGUCAUUAAGUUUGCUGGCACUCUUAGAGUUUCAGUUAUGACCAUGCACCUUUUUCUCACUGGAAGCAUUUUGGCUAAAAGAAUAAAGAACUCACAUGUUCCAAAAGGAAGGGGUGUAUGUCCACUUGUCUUACCUACUGGAGAGUCGAUGCUUAUAGGAAUCUUUGCCAAAUAUGAUUUCCUUGGAACUUUCUUUUGUUUGAAGGUUUUUUUUUGUUUUGUUUUGUUUUUU
Molecule: long non-coding RNA, 1008 nt
Filed under: Mustela putorius furo (domestic ferret)
Lineage: Eukaryota; Metazoa; Chordata; Mammalia; Carnivora; Mustelidae
Description: lncRNA (ENSMPUG00000028162.1)
Source: RNAcentral